CCAAUAGCGUAUAUUAAAGUUGUUGCAGUUAAAAAGCUCGUAGUUGAAUUUCGGGGUCAGCAGGUCGGUCGUGCCAAUGGUAUGCACUGGCCUUGCUGAUUCCUCCCUCUUGAUGAGCCGUAAUGCCAUUAAUUUGGUGUUGCGGGGAAUCAGGACUGUUACUUUGAAAAAAUUAGAGUGUUUAAAGCAGGCAAGCGCUUGAAUACAUUAGCAUGGAAUAAUGAAAUAGGACGUUUGAUCCUAUUUUGUUGGUUUCUAGGAUUGACGUAAUGAUUAAUAGGGAUAGUUGGGGGCAUUAGUAUUCAAUUGUCAGAGGUGAAAUUCUUGGAUUUAUUGAAGACUAACUACUGCGAAAGCAUUUGCCAAGGAUGUUUUCAUUAAUCAAGAACGAAAGUUAGGGGAUCGAAGACGAUCAGAUACCGUCGUAGUCUUAACCAUAAACUAUGCCGACUAGGGAUCGGAUGAUGUUAAUUUUUUAAUGACUCAUUCGGCGCCUUACG
This 500-nucleotide ribosomal RNA is filed under the name uncultured Glomeromycotina. RNAcentral's name for it is "partial small subunit ribosomal RNA". It matches the Rfam family "Eukaryotic small subunit ribosomal RNA", at positions 591 to 1092 of the family's 1831-position model. The record is from RNAcentral. Lineage: Eukaryota; Fungi; Glomeromycota.